UCGGAGUGGGACAAACUAGCUCAGAAUUCAUUUCUUGCCUUUUACCAGAGAUGACCGUGGUUCAUGCCCAUGAUACUCCAUUCCAUCAAUCUUUGAAAAGCAUCUUCUGGUUCUC
Molecule: small nuclear RNA, 115 nt
Rfam family: U5 spliceosomal RNA
About the family: U5 RNA is a component of both types of known spliceosome. The precise function of this molecule is unknown, though it is known that the 5' loop is required for splice site selection and p220 binding, and that both the 3' stem-loop and the Sm site are important for Sm protein binding and cap methylation.